Molecule: ribosomal RNA, 398 nt
Filed under: uncultured bacterium
Lineage: Bacteria
Description: bacterial SSU rRNA
Rfam family: Bacterial small subunit ribosomal RNA
Source: RNAcentral
GGAAUUUUGCGCAAUGGGCGAAAGCCUGACGCAGCCACGCCGCGUGAGGGAUGACGGCCUUCGGGUUGUAAACCUCUUUUGUCAGGGAAGAUGAUGACGGUACCUGGCGAAUAAGCCACGGCUAACUACGUGCCAGCAGCCGCGGUAAUACGUAGGUGGCGAGCGUUGUCCGGAUCUACUGGGCGUAACGAGCGCGCAGGCGGGCGUCCAAGUCGCGUGUGAAAGCCCCCGGCUCAACUGGGGAGGGUCACGCGAUACUGAUCGACUUGAAGGCAGGAGAGGGUAGUGGAAUUCCCGGUGUAGUGGUGAAAUGCGUAGAUAUCGGGAGGAACACCAGUGGCGAAGGCGACUACCUGGCCUGUUCUUGACGCUGAGGCGCGAAAGCUAGGGGAGCAAAC